Molecule: ribosomal RNA, 374 nt
Filed under: Cryptocephalus moraei
Lineage: Eukaryota; Metazoa; Arthropoda; Insecta; Coleoptera; Chrysomelidae
Description: partial 16S large subunit ribosomal RNA
Source: RNAcentral
UUUUGACUGUACUAAGGUAGCAUAAUCAUUAGUUUUUUAAUUGAGAACUGGAAUGAAAGGUUUGAUGAAAAAAUAACUGUCUCUUUUAUAUAAAUAAAAUUUUAUUUUUAAGUUAAAAAGCUUAAAUAUUGCUAAAAGACGAGAAGACCCUAUAGAGUUUAAUAAUUUAAUAAUUUUAUAAAUAAAGAUAAAAAUUAUAUUGGAUUAUAUAAAUUUAUUUGAUUGGGGUGAUUAUAGAAUUUAAAAAACUUCUAUUUAAAUAAACUUUAAUUAAAGGUUGGUGUGAUUAAUUUAUUGUGAUUAAAAGAAUAAAUUACCUUAGGGAUAACAGCGUUAUCUUUUUUUAGAGUUCAAAUCGAUAAAAAGGAUUGCGA